ACUCCUUCCUCCACUCUCUCACACCCCUCUCCUACCCCUUCCGCACGAGCUGAAGGUCCCCCAAGGCUCCAUGGCCGGCCAUGGCCAUGGGAGCACACCAAACCGCAGCUCUACUCCUCCCUCAAGCUUCCCCUCACCAUGAGAGCUUCCCUCUCACUCUCUUCUCUCCUAUCCAUAGAUGAAUCCAGCUCUAUUUCUCCUUUCUCCACUCACAAAAUUGGAUCUUGAUGCAGGUGCAUAUUUGUCCAAGCAUGGAGAAGGUUGAGCAAUCCUCAGAUCUGAAGUUCUUGAGCAAAAUCCAAAUCGAGUGAUUCAAAGUUCCAUAGAUAGGUAUUGAAAAGAUCUACAACUUGGCGUUGGUCUCAUCCUCAAAUUUGUUACGGAUUUGCCUUGAUCAAGAUCUGGUCACAUCUGUCUUUGUCGAAUUAAACCAGGAGCUUGGAGAAGAAUUUUUGAAUGAAACCAGCUGGGGGAUAUUUGGUUUAUACCAUGGUGAUAACCGAGAGAGGCAAUUGCUAAGUUGUGACGCACUCAUACCUUUACUAGAUGCGAACAGUUCCGGAGAAGAAGACGGAGUGGAAUCGGACGAGGAUUUUAUUUAUAUAUGUUGUUGGAAUUCUUAUAUUGAUGGAGUUGAGAAGUACAGGGACACAUAAGCCAAGGCAAGCCAUCUUUUGAUCUCUGAUUCGGUGUCUAGUUGGAUGUCAUUUGUUGAUAUCCAAAGCACCUCGAUUCUAUGUGUGUUGUUCUCCUUAUUGUUGUCAUCUAUGUAUUGGUUGCUAGUGGGG
Long non-coding RNA from Lolium perenne, 788 nucleotides. RefSeq lists it as uncharacterized. The record is from RefSeq and is a predicted model, not a curated record. Lineage: Eukaryota; Viridiplantae; Streptophyta; Magnoliopsida; Poales; Poaceae.